Molecule: long non-coding RNA, 3405 nt
Organism: Numida meleagris (helmeted guineafowl)
Lineage: Eukaryota; Metazoa; Chordata; Aves; Galliformes; Numididae
Exons: 3
Source: RefSeq, a predicted model, not a curated record
GGCCGGUCUCACCUUUAUUAAUUGGAGGGAAUGUACCUGAACAGAUGCUCCUGUAGGGGUCAGUUUUUCCAAGUCUCCAAAUGCAAUACAUAGCUAAUGAGACUGUCGACAUACUGAGAUGUCAGGAGUCCACGAAGAUGCUUUGCUAGCUGUGGCUACAGUCAAGUGAGAAAGCAUUGUGCUUUGUGAUGCAGUAUACUUGGCCUAAUGAUGCUUUGGCAGCCGAGGUUUGCUGUCAGGAGCCAUUAAAGCAUUCAUACAAAUACUGCUGUGCACUAGGUGCAGAGACAGCAGCUCCCAGCAUGUCACUGAUUGAUGUAUGGAAUGAUCACUGGAUGGAAAGAUGGAUGGAGGAGCAGGUGACAAGAAGGGUCAACAAAGGAAUCAUUAAUGAAAUGGAUGGAUGGAGAGAAGGAUGGAUUGAUGGACAGAUGGGAUGGACAGACAAGUAGAUGGACAUACAGAUGGAUGGAUGUACAGAUGGAUGAAAAGACAGUGGAUGAGUCACCACAACACCGCCACUGUCCUGCUGGUGCCAGCACUGUCCUAAAUCCACCCAGCCGCAGAUCUUCUCUCUACUUCGAAGACCAGUGUGCCCCCAGGCCUCCACGGGGACCAGUGGGGGUGGUCCUGGGGUACAGAACCCUCAUCCCAUUGGCUGGAGACACUCCGUUGGCUGCUACAAAAACCUGGAACCUUUGGAGGAGGCUCAGCUCUGCGGCACCGGCAUGGAACCAGACUGAUGCCUCUUCUGUUUUGAGAAGCCGGAGGUCCAACAAGCUAUUCUUUCUUUAGCCAAGACGAUGCCCUGCUGCUGUGUCUCCUUCUCUCUAACAGCUGGUGACCAGACACCACAGCCCAGGAUCAAACCUUCUAUGUUUCUGAGUCAGAGGUCUCUGGAAUCUCUCAGAAUUUCCUGCCUGCUAUACAAGGUCAUAAUUGAGAAGUUAGGGCUACAUGAACAUAUAAUUGUUUCUACAAGAACAUAAGACCAUAGCAAAUCAAAAGACCCUCCACCUAAAUGUUGUCUUAACAAGAAUAGUAAUUGUUUAAUAGCAGUACAAAUACAUAGAGCAUUUGGGAAAAACAUUAACAACUGUCUACAACGGUAAACUAUAUAGAAUUAUCUUUACUGUGUGAGGUACUUGGCUCAUGGAUUUGCUUGUGCAUGAGAGGCCACACUGCAAAGCUACAACUGAGCAUGCACUUGGCCUAGUUAACUCUGUCAGGUAACAAUAUUUUGUUUGUGAGUGAAAAAGUUUAUUUGAUAGAGAUAUCUGCAUGGAAGCUUGACUCAGCCAUGAAGUAAGGAUGUAUCUUUAGAGCUCUGCAGUGUAGCUGUAAUGUGUUGCUACAAGUCAGCUAAGAUAAUGUCAAGCCAAGUUUUCUGCAUACUAUAAUGUGAUGUAUUUUUCAAUCUCGUUGUGCUGAAACAAAAGCAGUCAUGUCCUCCUUCUCAUUUGCUCUGACAGAACUGCGUGCACAGAGUUAGUCACUGCUGGGAGCAUUGAUUGUGCCAGGAUGAGUUUUCUGAGCUGUGAAGUGUGAACCAGCAUCAAACCCGUACUAAGGGCUUCCUCCCCAUAAGGAUCUAAACUGUCGUUGCUGUCUUUGGCUGUUGCAGUCAUUUCAUUACUCUGACCACCAUGUAGCAAACCUAGAGAUUAGAAAGCAAGUCACUUGGUUGUGGUUUCUUGGGUGGUCAAGACACGUGUAAUCGAGUAUAUUUCUCAGGAACUGUCUGUCAGGGUUCUGGCAUGGUUCGGCCUAGAACUGUGAUUAAUGGGGUGGAGGGACCCACGGACUUACUACUCUUACUUAUACACCAUUCUAAAUGCAUGCAGCCCGUUGGAGAACAUUAACCAUUGUAAGUAAUAUCAAUACAUAUAGCAAAAUUCAAUAAUGAUGGCUAUACUAAUAAGCUGAAUAUAGCUUGAUGGACAAAAUCUAUCAAUUCUUACAGGUAUUUAAAAGGAUCAAAGAGGUAGAGAUGGGAAAUCUGAAUAGUAUUUAACAUUUCCCAAGAUGUUUCCAACAUCUGCGUGUCUAUCAGUAUUUUGUAGCACUGGUAUAGGUUGGCUUAGCAAUAGGGAUCAAUAUAUUAGCUUAAGGACCAAUAUAUUAGUUUAGCAAAAAGGAAUUAAUAUGUGAUAAUUCUAGAAUUUUCCAGUUUAGCUUUGCUUGGUAUGAACAGUCUUGUUUUUCUGAAUGAUCCCUGCUUCGCUGAAGUGCUGAAGUCACAAUAGGCUACUUCUGUCUUUGUAUCUGUCACGUGCAAGGACUUUUUCCUGGGUUUCAUGUAAAUUGUUUUGAGUUAUAGCACACCAAGACAGAAGGUUGCUCAUUAUGGCAUAACAAGCCAUGGAAAUUUGCCAAAUUGGGGAAAAACAGCUAAAAGGUCAGCCACAGGACACUGUGAUGAAGCUGAAGGAGAAAUAAAGGGGAGGAAGCAGGUGGUAGUAUGAGCACCAUAGACAUAACCGCUCAUGCUCAGAGGGACGCUAGCACAUAUUAAUGAGUUCUUGGAAAAGAAUGAAUAUGUAUGCCAGUGUAUUGCACUUGCAUGUCUUAACUGUUUAAAUGCAGAACCUGAACUCAGAGCAUGCGCUUGAUUUGUCAAGUUGCCUGGUACGUAUUGCAAGAGUAAAGGAAUGCCACUUCUAAGAUCACAUUGGAGUUAGAGAUUUUCUUCCCAGAUUUUUCCAGUGACAGCACAAAUAGAGAAUAUUCUGCGUCGCAAUGAGACAAGGGAAUUGAGAUUAAAUAUGAAGAAGUUCGAGAGAGGAACUCACAACAACUUAAACUCGAGGGGCUGCACCUCUACAGAUGAGGGCUUUGUUAUAGACUCAGGAUCCUAGGUCUUCAGGUAUGGUAGUGGAAGCAGUAGAGUCUGCAAAUCGGUAAAAAGACAAAUAUUAAUAUGCAAUUAAACCUUUUCUCUAGAUGGAACAGCGUAAAUAGAUUCCAACUUUAAGCAGAUGUACGAUGCAGACAUAAACUUCUCCAGACUUAGAUGUGUGUAGCUGUGAUCAGGUUGCAAUACCUCAACUCAGGUACUUUGUCGUUGGUCUUACUUUCAGAAAGAAAAUUAAAAGUACUUCCAACAAAAUAGACAAAUUCUUCAUUGUGGAUUGUUUAUUUGUUAGUUUUAAAACUCUGUAUGAUCUUUUCUUUGGUUUUUGUUGUUUGUAUUGAAAAUGGAAUUGUGGCAACCCAACUCACCCUGCUGACACCUUCUGCCUUCACCACUCGUGCAGCUGGGAGCUGAAGGGGUUUUCCUCUCCCAGGUUCCUGCACACAGAGCACCUGUUGAUGACAACAGUCAUUAUUUCCACAUACCUUCUUUAACAAGAAAGUCAAUUUAGGAAUCAAACAUCUAACAAUAAAACCCUUUGUUUCCUCUGA